CGGAGACCUCACAUAUAAUGUUUACCUUCACUUUUAUUAUCUUUCCGCAUUUCUUCUCUUUCUGAUGUACGUCGACAACAAUAACUUGGUUGUCUUAUUAUUAUUUCCCCCCCUUGCUGCGCUCUUUCGCGGACGGCGUUACUCUGCUCCGGAGCGUCGGCAGAGUUUGUGAUGUUCUUCUCACACCGGCCUGUACCGUCUAGAUACCUGCCAUACUCUGCAUGGGUGAAUCCUUCUCCUCCCCCUCCUUCUUCAGUGGCCACAGAGAAGUAACCAGCUCUUGAGCUUCCUCGUAAUUAAUAAAGCAAUCUUCAGAUUUGACUAUCACAGCAUCACGCUCACAGAAUGAGAGGUUCUUUCUCAGAUCAUCAGAGUUAAACUUCAGUUUCUGAACACGAAAAUGAACAAAGAGAAAAAGGUGUUGGACAGUUUUACACAGGAACCUGCAAAAAGCUUAGAAAAUAUGUUUUGCUACAAUUUAAAGUAUAAAAGUGAGUUAAAAUGUUCAUUUACAAUAAAAUGUGUUUAAUGAUUCCUUUUACAUCCAGUUCACAUGUGUGGAAUUUGUACUGAUCCUGAGCACCUGAGGACUCUUCACCAGUUAAACCAGCUGAGGGCUGCUAACAGCUGCAGCUGAAAUAAUGUUCCUGUUGGAGGAGCAGUGAAGGUACCUGUCCGCUCUUUACAUGCAGGGCAAGGACGACGUGAUCCCAGACACAGUAAGGUGGUCCAAACGGCCCUUCAACCUCUGCCAGGUUGUUGACCUCGUCUUUUUUAUACAUAUACCUGAGAAGCAGACCAAAAAGAACCAUUUAGCAUUUUAAAGAGUUCGGAGAUUUUUAAAACACCUCACUCACACAAUUCAGAGAGAGGGAGAGGUAAAAAUGAAGCCCAGGUAGCUGCAGGUAAAGCACUCAGGUGGAAAUCUUUGCUAUUGGGUCAUUCCUAUAACUAUGAUGUAUGUAUUUUAUUUAUUUUUUUCCUACCUUUUUUCCCCACACAUGGCCUGUGGUCUCCAGAUGAAGCAUCCAUCUUUGUAAGCACAGAUGGGGUUCGGCUCAUCAGGCAGGAUGGGAUACUGUUCGAAGUUAUAGAUCUUAUUGUUGUUAUCAUUUGGGCUGUGGACCAGCACCACAUACAUCACUUCCUUUUUGUACAAGGAGGUCUUGAAGACCCGCAUGACGGGCUGCAUGUCGUUGCAAAUCUGGAAAGAAAAAGACGUUUUGCGAGAUCUAUAGAUGAGUAACCUGAGGAGCUGACAUAAACAAACAAACCUGGUUAUUGUAUUCUGAGUCAUCUCUGUGCUUGUUGACUGUCUUUUUCUGUUUUAUUUUCAGUUUUGAACAAAAUUUACAGGUUUUCUAUUCAGUUUUUUUUUCAGUCAGUGAGAUAUAAAUUAAUGUGUGUGUCUACUGGAAGACAACAUUCAUUAAAUUAGUCCAUACCUGCUGUCUGUAGGCCUCCAGCACCUCAUUCACUGUGAAGGUGAAGCGGUACGAUCCAUAUCUGGACUUCUCACUGAAGGCUGGAGAGGAGGCAAACUUCAACAGGAAGCUUUGCUGCCUCUGGGCCUGCUCCUUGGUCCGGUUUGGGAAGGUCUCCUCCAGGAGCCUCCUCUCAGCUGAUUGGAUCUCUUCUGGUCGCACAGCCAGACUCCACCACACCAGGGACAGACUGUCAUUAUUGGAUGGAUCCUUGAGGCCUUCAUCCUUUAUCUCACGUAAAGCUUUUGGGCCUGUGUCGUGUUUUAGAUGAGACACAUAAAAUUCUGGUUUGGGAUAUUCAGAGGUUUUUGUGUUUUUAAGGUAAUCAUUCUGCAAGUCAGCAGCCUCCUUUUUUAAAUCAUCGAUAUUUAAAUGUUUAUAUUUUAUAAAAUAUUCUUUUCUAUUUGGAUGAGGCUCCAUGAUGAGAUCGAGAAAAGUGUAGAUCGGCAAAUGAAAGCUUCAGUCUGGAGUGUCAGAGGAGAGGAGUGACUUGUGUUUUCCGACAGCCUGGAUAUUUAUACACUGCUUCCCACAAACCACACACACACACAACCACAUACCCACAUGCUUACGUAACAACAUUCCACUGAACAAAUGUAUUCAUUGUUGUAUUACUCUUCUUGUGUAUAAAUAAAGACCAGGGCAAGAACAGAGGGCACACAUCACACACUGCAAAUUCCUUAACAAGACUUAUUGUCUUAAAUUUAG
Long non-coding RNA from Oreochromis aureus, 2192 nucleotides. The record is from Ensembl. Lineage: Eukaryota; Metazoa; Chordata; Actinopteri; Cichliformes; Cichlidae.